CCUACGGGGGGCAGCAGUGGGGAAUAUUGGACAAUGGGCGAAAGCCUGAUCCAGCCAUGCCGCGUGUGUGAAGAAGGCCUUCGGGUUGUAAAGCACUUUCAGUGGGGAAGAAAGCCUUGGGGCUAAUACCCUCGAGGAAGGACAUCACCCACAGAAGAAGCACCGGCUAACUCCGUGCCAGCAGCCGCGGUAAUACGGAGGGUGCGAGCGUUAAUCGGAAUUACUGGGCGCAAAGCGCGCGUAGGCGGUCUGAUAAGCCGGUUGUGAAAGCCCCGGGCUCAACCUGGGAACGGCAUCCGGAACUGUCAGGCUAGAGUGCAGGAGAGGAAGGUAGAAUUCCCGGUGUAGCGGUGAAAUGCGUAGAGAUCGGGAGGAAUACCAGUGGCGAAGGCGGCCUUCUGGACUGACACUGACGCUGAGGUGCGAAAGCGUGGGUAGCAAACAGGAUUAGAUACCCGUGUAGUC
Molecule: ribosomal RNA, 465 nt
Filed under: Vreelandella stevensii
Lineage: Bacteria; Pseudomonadati; Pseudomonadota; Gammaproteobacteria; Oceanospirillales; Halomonadaceae
Description: partial 16S ribosomal RNA
Rfam family: Bacterial small subunit ribosomal RNA
Source: RNAcentral